This 335-nucleotide unclassified non-coding RNA is filed under the name soil metagenome. RNAcentral describes it as "partial contains 5.8S ribosomal RNA, internal transcribed spacer 2, and large subunit ribosomal RNA". The stretch from base 1 to 119 matches the Rfam family "5.8S ribosomal RNA", at positions 35 to 154 of the family's 154-position model. The record is from RNAcentral.
GAUGAAGAACGUAGCGAAAUGCGAUAAGAAUGUGAAUUGCAGAAUUCAGUGAAUCAUCGAAUCUUUGAACGCACAUUGCGCCCAUUAGUAUUCUAGUGGGCAUGCCUGUUCGAGCGUCAUUUCAACCCUUAAGCCUAGCUUAGUGUUGGGAAUCUGCUGUAUUGCAGUUCCUCAAAUACAACGGCGGAUCUGUAACAUCCUCUGAGCGUAGUAAAUUUUUAUCUCGCUUUUGUUAGGUGUUGCAGCUCUCAGCCGCUAAACCCCCCAAUUUUUGUGGUUGACCUCGGAUCAGGUAGGAAUACCCGCUGAACUUAAGCAUAUCAAUAAGCGGAGGA